UACGGAGGAUGCGAGCGUUAUCCGGAUUUAUUGGGUUUAAAGGGUGCGUAGGCGGAAUAUCAAGUCAGCGGUAAAAAUGCGGUGCUCAACGCCGUAUCGCCGUUGAAACUGCGGGUCUUGAGUGAGCGAGAAGUAUGCGGAAUGCGUGGUGUAGCGGUGAAAUGCAUAGAUAUCAGGAGGAACAUCGGUGGCGAAAGCGCUUUACUGGACCAUUAUUGACGCUGAGGAACGAAAGCCAGGGGAGCAAAUGGG
Molecule: ribosomal RNA, 252 nt
Filed under: uncultured bacterium
Lineage: Bacteria
Description: partial 16S ribosomal RNA
Rfam family: Bacterial small subunit ribosomal RNA
Source: RNAcentral